CGGGCUACUUAAAUUUAUUUUGGGCUACCAAACACUGAAGAGUCCCUACCCGAAGGGCUACCAGGGAUUUUGAAAUUUUGCGAGCCCUGAGAUUUUUUUUUUUUUUUAUUACUUUUUUGUUUCAGCAACAUUAAAUUUAAAAACUGUACUUUUGAGUUAAAAUAUAUAUUUAUAAUUUUAAUAAAUGACAAAUUAAAAGGGCAUGAACAUUUUUUUUUGUAUCGAAAAAAUAUCGAACCGUGACACCAAAGUAUCGAACCGAACUGAACCCUGAAUUUUGUGUAUUGUUGCACCCCUAAUAUAUAUAUAUAUAUAUAUAUAUAUAUGUGUAUAUAUAUAUAUAUAUAUAUAUAUAUAUAUACACAAAAGGCUGAAUAAAUCUCUCAUGCCAUUUCUCACAUAUUACGAACAAAAACAACAUGACUUUUGACACAGACAACUAUGCAGACUUUCAAGUUGGUCACAACAAAGUUGUGCGUGAGUAGUAAUGUGGUAGUACAGCAAUUAUUCAUCUGUAAUUUCAAGUUUUUUAAUGGAAUGAAGAUGUUUCCCCUCAGUACGUUUCAUGUUCUAUCUUUGGUGAGAAACCUUUUGUGUUUGCUUUCAUCUUAAUGUGUCAAUAUUGUCACAUUGUCCUUAUCACGUUUUUAGACUCGUGGGUUGGCUGACACUUCACCCUUUCACUGGACCACAUUAAAAGACUGUUGUAUAACGUUUUUACAUACCGUGGGUUGACCUAGUUCUCUUGUUUUUUUUUUUUUAUUCAAACUAUCAUAUAGUCUAUUAGUGAAAGAAAUGUAUGGAAAUACUAAAGUCACUUUCAUUAUGAGUCAUUAUCUGAAGUGCGUUAUGAUGCAUGAUGGUGCAUAAUGAAUGUUCUGACAUUUGUUGAGGUGGCAUUGUUCUCUUUUGAUGCAACUGUUUAAGGGGAUACAUUUAACAUCACAGACUAAAGGGGACUUUGAAGUGUUUUAUACUACAACUUUUUUUAAACUUUUUUUCAGGGAUUAAAAAACUGAAUUAUAUGUAUUAACUGAAUGAAUUACACGAGUAACUAACUAAAAAAUAGCCCCCAGCAACAGUACUUUUGGGCAGUCAGUUUUCUCUUACUGAGCAGCUCAUACUUGGAAUACAAUACAGAAAUAAGGAACCUAACAUUCUUUACUUCUUUCUCUAAAUCUGUAAAACUGGUUACUGGAUAAUCAAAACAUGUCAUGAUUUUAAAUAAUGGUGGUGAAGAUCCAUGAUUCUAAUAUGUUUUUAUAAGUGAUUUUAACAUUUGAUUUUUAACAUGUUAUGUAUGUUUAUUUUACAUGUGUUUCUGUCUUUGACUUAUGUUCACGUGCCUUCGAAUGUUUGGUUUUCUUGAUUAGUUUAAUAUGCCAUCAAACUGCCAGAGACUACAGAAGAAAAUUAGCCUAUGCGGUUAAAUCUGGC
Long non-coding RNA from Astatotilapia calliptera (eastern happy), 1437 nucleotides. NCBI's taxonomy places the organism in Eukaryota, Metazoa, Chordata, Actinopteri, Cichliformes, Cichlidae. The record is from Ensembl.